UACGUAGGGUGCGAGCGUUGUCCGGAAUUACUGGGCGUAAAGAGCUCGUAGGUGGUUUGUCGCGUUGUCCGUGAAAACUCACAACUCAAUUGUGGGCGUGCGGGCGAUACGGGCAGACUGGAGUACUGCAGGGGAGACUGGAAUUCCUGGUGUAGCGGUGGAAUGCGCAGAUAUCAGGAGGAACACCAGUGGCGAAGGCGGGUCUCUGGGCAGUAACUGACGCUGAGGAGCGAAAGCGUGGGUAGCUAACAGG
RNAcentral lists this ribosomal RNA (253 nucleotides) under uncultured bacterium. RNAcentral describes it as "partial 16S ribosomal RNA". It matches the Rfam family "Bacterial small subunit ribosomal RNA", at positions 524 to 776 of the family's 1533-position model. The record is from RNAcentral.